RNAcentral lists this ribosomal RNA (533 nucleotides) under uncultured Planctomycetota bacterium. Its description in RNAcentral is "bacterial SSU rRNA". It matches the Rfam family "Bacterial small subunit ribosomal RNA", at positions 117 to 643 of the family's 1533-position model. Lineage: Bacteria; Pseudomonadati; Planctomycetota. The record is from RNAcentral.
GUAGGUGACGUGCCCCGGGGUCUGGGAUAGCCAUGGGAAACCGUGGGUAAUACUGGAUGACCUCCCUGAAUUUGAAUGUUUGGGGAGCAAAGGUGUGAUUCCGUCCUGGGAGCGGCUUGCGUGGUAUUGGCUUGUUGGUGAGGUAACGGCUCACCAAGGCGACGAUGCCUAGGGGGUGUUAGCGCAUGACCCCCACGACUGGGACUGAGAUACUGCCCAGACACCUACGGGUGGCUGCAGUCGAGAAUCUUCGGCAAUGGGCGCAAGCCUGACCGAGCGACGCCGCGUGCGGGAUGAAGGCCCUUGGGUUGUAAACCGCUGUCAGAGGGGAUGAAGUGCGGGUGGGCAAUCCCAUCCGUUUGACAUAGCCUCAGAGGAAGCACGGGCUAAGUUCGUGCCAGCAGCCGCGGUAAUACGAACUGUGCAAACGUUAUUCGGAAUCACUGGGCUUAAAGGGUGCGUAGGCGGCUAUUUAAGUAGGGUGUGAAAGCCCCCGGCUCAACCGGGGAAUUGCGUCCUAAACUGGAUGGCUC